RNAcentral lists this long non-coding RNA (1454 nucleotides) under Toxoplasma gondii VEG. The record is from RNAcentral. Lineage: Eukaryota; Apicomplexa; Conoidasida; Eucoccidiorida; Sarcocystidae.
ACGGCUUCAAAUGUUUCACAGCUGCCGUAGUAAGACACAGCUCAUCGAUUGCAGACCGGUGCCAUGCUGUCCCCGUAAGUGUCAGCCAUCGCUGUGCGGUCACAGAUCCUGCCAGGAGGCGGUGACAUAGUUCGGAAGACAAUGUUGUGCUUCUGUGAGCAGAGCAGGUUGUCCUAUCGAACCGGAUCUUUUCAUAUGCGAUACAAACUGUACCUUAUAGGCCCGGUCAGGCUUGGCAACGCUACAAACAAAAAUACACCUUUGAGCGACAUCCGCAACACUGCACGAACCGCAUUCAGCGCUGCUGCAGUACGUGUUCCUUCUCAGUGACGAUUGCGGAUUGUACUGCACCUUCUGCAUUGUCUUCGAUGGUUUCAACACGCCGUUGAGGUGUCCGGAACGCUCCAGGAACCUCGUCACACAAUGCAUCAAUCACAUUCCUUUAGCCGUUGCACAUAUACCCGGUGAGAAGCGCAUUGCGAGGAGGCGACAUUGUGGGAGGCCUCGUCUGCGACGAGGAACAUCAAACUCUGAAAGUGACCCAAAAACGCGGCCGCUGAGUCCGCUGCAGCUGUACCCCAGAUGGAAGGCAAUAAGAGGUACACAACUCAGUCGCAGAAUCAGCCGAUCAUCUCAUCUCCAGGACACAUUCAUGCUCGUGCUGUUGGUGCAGGCACAUUUUCUGAUCGCUCGUUUGUACGUCUCGCAGUUGCCUGCUAUGUAAGUGCGUCCCGGAAAGUUGCAGUUCUCUAACUGAGCGGUGAACAGUCUGUUCCCCUGCUUUUCGAGUCCCUUGUACCUCGUCGCAGCAGUGUAAACUGACAUCAAGGCUGCCUUCGGCAGUAUGAGAUGGCACCGUGACAUUGCGCCUAUCUCGGAUGCGAGUGUGUUCCUGGUAUGCAACGUUCUCAAGGCGGCAUAUCGCCGAUGAAGAACAGAGCAAAACUGGCUAUUGUGCCUGCUUUUUAUUACACGUGGACCGCAGUCUAUGUUUGCUUGGAAGGUGUAGUCCUUACCUGGGUUGAUCGGAUAGAAGCUUUUGACCUAGAAUGAAUCAUCACUUCUACGUCUUUGGAAGUCGAUACACGUCGCAUAUCCCGUGAAAUCGCCUAUAAUCUCGUGCUGCGCUAUCUCGUACAAUUAUUCUACAUCUCCUGAGUUCCGAGAGACUGAAAGGAGUGCAGACCUAGACCUGUGUGCACUUGCCACAUGCUGGUGUGAUAAACAUCCGAGUGGAUUUCCUCUCAACUGGGUAACGCGUCAUAUACAUCUCCAGACAGAUUCCCCCAUGUUUUGCAAUUGCGGAGGUAGUUUAUUCUAUCCGCUACAUGAUACAUCUGAAAAGGUAUCUGACACAAAGAGACUAAGAACCGCGGUAAACUUACCUGAACAAGGAUUGUGCUGACAGAAGACACACGUUUCCGAAAAACUUGCACAGUGAAAUUACGUAGGCG